UAUUGUAUUUGUGAAGUGUUGGGUCAAGGUAACUGGCAUGCAUCAAGGCUUAGCUGGGUAUUGUAUUUGGGAAGUGUUGGGUCAAGGUCAAGGUAACUGGCUUGCAUCAAGGCCUAGCUGGGUA
Molecule: long non-coding RNA, 124 nt
Organism: Dreissena polymorpha
Lineage: Eukaryota; Metazoa; Mollusca; Bivalvia; Myida; Dreissenidae
Exons: 3
Source: RefSeq, a predicted model, not a curated record